GAUCCCCUGCGAUGCGCGUGAUUAACAUUCGUUUUUUGAGCCAACACCUUAGAACCGGGAACCUUACCGUUUUUGCUGUGUGCACGGCUGCGUAAAUCCUUUGUUGGGUGGCAGAAAGCCUGAAGCCAAGACUUUAGGUACCCACUUGGUCCCAAGGUUCAAAAAAGGUGGUUAACACGGCAUUGGCGGGGGUUAA
Molecule: non-coding RNA, 196 nt
Filed under: Syntrophaceae bacterium
Lineage: Bacteria; Pseudomonadati; Thermodesulfobacteriota; Syntrophia; Syntrophales; Syntrophaceae
Description: 6S RNA
Rfam family: 6S / SsrS RNA
About the family: E. coli 6S RNA was the first non coding RNA to be sequenced, but its function was unknown until recently. It consists of 184 nucleotides that fold into an extended hairpin structure with a large single-stranded internal bulge.
Source: RNAcentral